UGGCGGCGUGCCUAAUACAUGCAAGUCGAACGCGCAGCGAGAGGUGCUUGCACCUUUCAAGCGAGUGGCGAACGGGUGAGUAACACGUGGAUAACCUGCCUCAAGGCUGGGGAUAACAUUUGGAAACAGAUGCUAAUACCGAAUAAAACUUAGUAUCGCAUGAUAUCAAGUUAAAAGGCGCUACGGCGUCACCUAGAGAUGGAUCCGCGGUGCAUUAGUUAGUUGGUGGGGUAAAGGCUUACCAAGACAAUGAUGCAUAGCCGAGUUGAGAGACUGAUCGGCCACAUUGGGACUGAGACACGGCCCAAACUCCUACGGGAGGCUGCAGUAGGGAAUCUUCCACAAUGGGCGCAAGCCUGAUGGAGCAACGCCGCGUGUGUGAUGAAGGCUUUCGGGUCGUAAAGCACUGUUGUAUGGGAAGAAAUGCUAAAAUAGGGAAUGAUUUUAGUUUGACGGUACCAUACCAGAAAGGGACGGCUAAAUACGUGCCAGCAGCCGCGG
This 501-nucleotide ribosomal RNA is filed under the name Leuconostoc sp. SM38. RNAcentral describes it as "bacterial SSU rRNA". It matches the Rfam family "Bacterial small subunit ribosomal RNA", at positions 37 to 520 of the family's 1533-position model. The record is from RNAcentral. Lineage: Bacteria; Bacillati; Bacillota; Bacilli; Lactobacillales; Lactobacillaceae.